RNAcentral lists this ribosomal RNA (322 nucleotides) under uncultured bacterium. Its description in RNAcentral is "bacterial SSU rRNA". It matches the Rfam family "Bacterial small subunit ribosomal RNA", at positions 106 to 425 of the family's 1533-position model. The record is from RNAcentral.
GUGAGUAACACGUGGGUAACCUACCCAGAAGACUGGGUAUAACGGCUCGAAAGGGCCGCUAAUACCGGAUAAUGUCGGGACACUGCAUGGUGUUUCGAAGAAAGGGGAGGCCCGCUUUUGGAUGGGCCCGCGUCCCAUCAGCUAGUUGGUGAGGUAAAGGCUCACCAAGGCGACGACGGGUAGCCGGUCUGAGAGGAUGGUCGGCCACACUGGGACUGAGACACGGCCCAGACUCCUACGGGAGGCAGCAGUUGGGAAUCUUAGGCAAUGGGCGAAAGCCUGACCUAGCGGCGCCGCGUGAGGGAAGAAGGCCUUCGGGUCG